RNAcentral lists this ribosomal RNA (2064 nucleotides) under Vibrio parahaemolyticus. RNAcentral describes it as "bacterial LSU rRNA". It matches the Rfam family "Bacterial large subunit ribosomal RNA", at positions 882 to 2925 of the family's 2925-position model. Lineage: Bacteria; Pseudomonadati; Pseudomonadota; Gammaproteobacteria; Vibrionales; Vibrionaceae. The record is from RNAcentral.
UCGGACGAAUACUACUGGGGGUAGAGCACUGUUAAGGCUAGGGGGUCAUCCCGACUUACCAACCCUUUGCAAACUCCGAAUACCAGUAAGUACUAUCCGGGAGACACACGGCGGGUGCUAACGUCCGUCGUGGAGAGGGAAACAACCCAGACCGCCAGCUAAGGUCCCAAAUUACUACUAAGUGGGAAACGAUGUGGGAAGGCUCAGACAGCCAGGAUGUUGGCUUAGAAGCAGCCAUCAUUUAAAGAAAGCGUAAUAGCUCACUGGUCGAGUCGGCCUGCGCGGAAGAUGUAACGGGGCUAAGUAGUAAACCGAAGCUGCGGCAAUAUACUUUUGUAUAUUGGGUAGGGGAGCGUUCUGUAAGCGGUUGAAGGUGUGUGGUAACGCAUGCUGGACGUAUCAGAAGUGCGAAUGCUGACAUGAGUAACGAUAAAGGGGGUGAAAAACCUCCUCGCCGGAAGACCAAGGGUUCCUGUCCAACGUUAAUCGGGGCAGGGUAAGUCGACCCCUAAGGCGAGGCCGAAAGGCGUAGUCGAUGGGAAACGGGUUAAUAUUCCCGUACUUCUUACAAUUGCGAUGGGGGGACGGAGAAGGCUAGGUGGGCCUGGCGACGGUUGUCCAGGUUCAAGUGCGUAGGCUUAAGAGUUAGGUAAAUCCGGCUCUUUCUAAGGCUGAGACACGACGUCGAGCACCUACGGGUGUGAAGUCAUUGAUGCCAUGCUUCCAGGAAAAGCCUCUAAGCUUCAGAUUGUAAGGAAUCGUACCCCAAACCGACACAGGUGGUCGGGUAGAGAAUACCAAGGCGCUUGAGAGAACUCGGGUGAAGGAACUAGGCAAAAUGGUACCGUAACUUCGGGAGAAGGUACGCUCUUGAUGGUGAAGUCCCUCGCGGAUGGAGCUGACGAGAGUCGCAGAUACCAGGUGGCUGCAACUGUUUAUUAAAAACACAGCACUGUGCAAAAUCGUAAGAUGACGUAUACGGUGUGACGCCUGCCCGGUGCCGGAAGGUUAAUUGAUGGGGUUAGACUUCGGUCGAAGCUCUUGAUCGAAGCCCCGGUAAACGGCGGCCGUAACUAUAACGGUCCUAAGGUAGCGAAAUUCCUUGUCGGGUAAGUUCCGACCUGCACGAAUGGCGUAAUGAUGGCCACGCUGUCUCCACCCGAGACUCAGUGAAAUUGAAAUCGCUGUGAAGAUGCAGUGUACCCGCGGCUAGACGGAAAGACCCCGUGAACCUUUACUACAGCUUGGCACUGAACAUUGACCCUACAUGUGUAGGAUAGGUGGGAGGCUUUGAAGCACGUACGCCAGUAUGUGUGGAGCCGUCCUUGAAAUACCACCCUUGUAGUGUUGAUGUUCUAACGUCGACCCCUUAUCGGGGUUGCGGACAGUGCCUGGUGGGUAGUUUGACUGGGGCGGUCUCCUCCCAAAGAGUAACGGAGGAGCACGAAGGUGGGCUAAUCACGGUUGGACAUCGUGAGGUUAGUGCAAUGGCAUAAGCCCGCUUGACUGCGAGAAUGACAAUUCGAGCAGGUGCGAAAGCAGGUCAUAGUGAUCCGGUGGUUCUGAAUGGAAGGGCCAUCGCUCAACGGAUAAAAGGUACUCCGGGGAUAACAGGCUGAUACCGCCCAAGAGUUCAUAUCGACGGCGGUGUUUGGCACCUCGAUGUCGGCUCAUCACAUCCUGGGGCUGAAGUCGGUCCCAAGGGUAUGGCUGUUCGCCAUUUAAAGUGGUACGCGAGCUGGGUUUAGAACGUCGUGAGACAGUUCGGUCCCUAUCUGCCGUGGGCGUUGGAAGAUUGAAGGGGGCUGCUCCUAGUACGAGAGGACCGGAGUGGACGAACCUCUGGUGUUCGGGUUGUGUCGCCAGACGCAUUGCCCGGUAGCUAAGUUCGGAAUCGAUAACCGCUGAAAGCAUCUAAGCGGGAAGCGAGCCCUGAGAUGAGUCUUCCCUGAUACUUUAAGUAUCCUAAAGGGUUGUCGGAGACUACGACGUUGAUAGGUCAGGUGUGUAAGUGCUGUGAGGCAUUGAGCUAACUGAUACUAAUUGCCCGUGAGGCUUAACCAU